RNAcentral lists this ribosomal RNA (220 nucleotides) under uncultured Glomus. RNAcentral's name for it is "partial small subunit ribosomal RNA". It matches the Rfam family "Eukaryotic small subunit ribosomal RNA", at positions 591 to 816 of the family's 1831-position model. The record is from RNAcentral. Lineage: Eukaryota; Fungi; Glomeromycota; Glomeromycetes; Glomerales; Glomeraceae.
CCAAUAGCGUAUAUUAAAGUUGUUGCAGUUAAAAAGCUCGUAGUUGAAUUUCGGGGUUAGUAGGUUGGUCAUGCCUCUGGUAUGUACUGGUCUCACUGAUUCCUCCUUCCUGAUGAACCUUAAUGCCAUUAAUUUGGUGUUUUGGGGAAUUUGGACUGUUACUUUGAAAAAAUUAGAGUGUUUAAAGCAAGCUAACGCUUGAAUACAUUAGCAUGGAAUA